AUGAACGCUGGCGGCGUGCCUAAUACAUGCAAGUCGAGCGAACAGACGAGGAGCUUGCUCCUCUGACGUUAGCGGCGGACGGGUGAGUAACACGUGGAUAACCUACCUAUAAGACUGGGAUAACUUCGGGAAACCGGAGCUAAUACCGGAUAAUAUAUUGAACCGCAUGGUUCAAUAGUGAAAGACGGUUUUGCUGCCACUUAUAGAUGGAUCCGCGCCGCAUUAGCUAGUUGGUAAGGUAACGGCUUACCAAGGCAACGAUGCGUAGCCGACCUGAGAGGGUGAUCGGCCACACUGGAACUGAGACACGGUCCAGACUCCUACGGGAGGCAGCAGUAGGGAAUCUUCCGCAAUGGGCGAAAGCUUGACGGAGCAACGCCGCGUGAGUGAUGAAGGUCUUCGGAUCGUAAAACUCUGUUAUUAGGGAAGAACAAAUGUGUAAGUAACUAUGCACGUCUUGACGGUACCUAAUCAGAAAGCCACGGCUAACUACGUG
RNAcentral lists this ribosomal RNA (496 nucleotides) under uncultured bacterium. Its description in RNAcentral is "partial 16S ribosomal RNA". It matches the Rfam family "Bacterial small subunit ribosomal RNA", at positions 29 to 507 of the family's 1533-position model. The record is from RNAcentral.